UGGGGAAUAUUGGACAAUGGGGGGAACCCUGAUCCAGCCAUGCCGCGUGUGUGAAGAAGGCCUUAUGGUUGUAAAGCACUUUAAGCGAGGAGGAGGCUCUCUUGGUUAAUACCGAAGAAGAGUGGACGUUACUCGCAGAAUAAGCACCGGCUAACUCUGUGCCAGCAGCCGCGGUAAUACAGAGGGUGCGAGCGUUAAUCGGAUUUACUGGGCGUAAAGCGUGCGUAGGCGGCUUUUUAAGUCGGAUGUGAAAUCCCCGAGCUUAACUUGGGAAUUGCAUUCGAUACUGGGAAGCUAGAGUAUGGGAGAGGAUGGUAGAAUUCCAGGUGUAGCGGUGAAAUGCGUAGAGAACUGGAGGAAAACCGAUGGCGAAGGCAGCCAUCUGGCCUAAUACUGACGCUGAUGUACGAAAGCAUGGGGAGCAAACAGG
RNAcentral lists this ribosomal RNA (430 nucleotides) under Acidobacteriota bacterium. RNAcentral's name for it is "Acidobacteria bacterium partial 16S ribosomal RNA". It matches the Rfam family "Bacterial small subunit ribosomal RNA", at positions 355 to 776 of the family's 1533-position model. Lineage: Bacteria; Pseudomonadati; Acidobacteriota. The record is from RNAcentral.